GCCAGUUUACACUGCCUCUUAGCAGCCUAAAGCAAGGGUACCGCCACAUACACCUGCUUUCCAAGGACGGGGCCUCACUGUCACCAGCCACGCUCUUCAUCCAAAUCCGCAUCCAGCGCUCCUGAGGGCCCACCUCACUCGCCUUGGGGUUCUGCGAGUGCCAGUCCACAUCCCCUGCAGAGCCCUCUCCUCCUCUGGAGUCAGGUGGUGGGAGUACCAGCCCCCCAGCCCACCCACUUGGCCCACUCAGCCCAUUCACCAGGCGCUGGUCUCACCUGGGUGCUGAGGGCUGCCUGGGCCCCUCCUGAAGAACAGAAAGGUGUUCAUGUGACUUCAGUGAGCUCCAACCCUGGGGCCCUGAGAUGGCCCCAGCUCCUCUUGUCCUCAGCCCACCCCUCAUUGUGACUUAUGAGGAGCAAGCCUGUUGCUGCCAGGAGACUUGGGGAGCAGGACACUUGUGGGCCCUCAGUUCCCCUCUGUCCUCCCGUGGGCCAUCCCAGCCUCCUUCCCCCAGAGGAGCGCAGUCACUCCACUUGGCCCCGACCCCGAGCUUAGCCCCUAAGCCCUCCUUUACCCCAGGCCUUCCUGGACUCCUCCCUCCAGCUCCGGAACCUGAGCUCCCCUUCCCUUCUCAAAGCAAGAAGGGAGCGCUGAGGCAUGAAGCCCUGGGGAAACUGGCAGUAGGUUUUGGUUUUUAUUUUUUGAGACAGGGUCUCGCUCCGUCGCCCAGGCUGGAGUGCAAUGUUGCAAUCAUGGCUCACUGCAGCUUUGAACUCCCAGGCUCAAGCGAUCCUCCCAUCUCAGCCUCCUGAGUAGCUGGGACUACAGGCACAGGCCACCAAACCUGGCUAAUGUUUAAAUUUUAUGUAGAGAUGGCGGGGGGGGCGGGGGUCUCCCUAUGUUGCCCAGGCUGGUCUCGAGCUCCUGACCUCAAGUGAUCCUCCUGCCCCAGCAUUCCAAAGUGCUGGGAUUACAGGUGUGAGCCACUGCCUGGCCUGGCCGUAGGUUUGUAACUGUUUCAUAGAAGAGCCCUGGAGAAGACAGUAGAAUGAGCCUAUCUAGUUUAAAAAAUAAAGAAGCACGUUGAUU
Molecule: long non-coding RNA, 1089 nt
Filed under: Homo sapiens (human)
Lineage: Eukaryota; Metazoa; Chordata; Mammalia; Primates; Hominidae
Description: HSALNT0241298
Source: RNAcentral